GUCUGAAUAGCUCAGGGGUAGAGCAUUAGCCCGGAAAGACUCGGGUUCGAUUCCCGAUUCAGUGA
This 65-nucleotide transfer RNA is filed under the name Lasius niger. It matches the Rfam family "tRNA". Rfam says of the family: Transfer RNA (tRNA) molecules are approximately 80 nucleotides in length. Their secondary structure includes four short double-helical elements and three loops (D, anti-codon, and T loops). Lineage: Eukaryota; Metazoa; Arthropoda; Insecta; Hymenoptera; Formicidae. The record is from Rfam by way of RNAcentral.